This 279-nucleotide ribosomal RNA is filed under the name uncultured bacterium. RNAcentral's name for it is "partial 16S ribosomal RNA". It matches the Rfam family "Bacterial small subunit ribosomal RNA", at positions 506 to 784 of the family's 1533-position model. The record is from RNAcentral.
UGCCAGCAGCCGCGGUAAUACGGAGGGUGCAAGCGUUGUUCGGAAUUAUUGGGCGUAAAGCGCGUGUAGGCGGUUCGUUAAGUCUGAUGUGAAAGCCCGGGGCUCAACCCCGGAAGUGCAUUGGAAACUGGCGAACUUGAGUACGGGAGAGGAAAGUGGAAUUCCGAGUGUAGGGGUGAAAUCCGUAGAUAUUCGGGGGAACACCAGUGGCGAAAGCGACUCUCUGGGCCGAUCCUGACGCUGAGGUGCGAAAGCUAGGGUAGCGAACGGGAUUAGAUA